GGGCUAUUAGCUCAGCUGGUUAGAGCGCACGGCUGAUAACCGUGAGGUCCCUGGUUCGAGUCCAGGAUGGCCCACUA
This 77-nucleotide transfer RNA is filed under the name Pseudanabaenococcus habilitatus PCC 7502. RNAcentral describes it as "Synechococcus sp. PCC 7502 tRNA-Ile". It matches the Rfam family "tRNA". From Rfam's summary of the family: Transfer RNA (tRNA) molecules are approximately 80 nucleotides in length. Their secondary structure includes four short double-helical elements and three loops (D, anti-codon, and T loops). The record is from RNAcentral. Lineage: Bacteria; Bacillati; Cyanobacteriota; Cyanophyceae; Pseudanabaenales; Pseudanabaenaceae.